Molecule: ribosomal RNA, 772 nt
Filed under: uncultured Neocallimastigales
Lineage: Eukaryota; Fungi; Neocallimastigomycota; Neocallimastigomycetes; Neocallimastigales
Description: partial large subunit ribosomal RNA
Rfam family: Eukaryotic large subunit ribosomal RNA
Source: RNAcentral
UAUGUGAUCGUCUCUCGCAUAUCAAUAAGCGGAGGAAAAGAAACUAACAAGGAUUCCCCUAGUAACGGCGAGUGAAGCGGGAAGAGCUCAAAUUUGAAAUCUUAAAGGGUCUCCCUUUACGAAUUGUAGUUUAAAGAAGUGUUUUCUGUUGAGGUUUUGGUAAAAGUUCUUUGGAAUAGGACAUCAUAGAGGGUGAGAAUCCCGUAUUUGACCUUUACUUUCAACUUUGUGAUACACUUUCAAAGAGUCGGAUUGUUUGGGAAUGCAGUCCAAAAUGGGUGGUAAAUUUCAUCUAAAGCUAAAUAUUGGCGAGAGACCGAUAGCGAACAAGUACCGUGAGGGAAAGAUGAAAAGAACUUUGAAAAGAGAGUUAAACAGUACGUGAAAUUGUCAAAAGGGAAGCGUUUGACACCAGUGUUGUUUUUCUGAAAAUCAAUUAAAGAACUGUUUAUGCUAAGUUGUUUAGACUUUAUCAGCUAACUGUUUAGUUUUGAGCUUUUCUUUAAUGCACUUUUCAGUUAACAAGUCAACAUCAAUUUCUUUUGCUGUAAAAAAGCUUGAGGAAGGUGGCUUGAGAUUCGUCUUAAGUGUUUAUAGCCUCUUGUCUAUGCAGUCGGAGAGAUUGAGGUCUGCAGCGUAGAUCCUUCGGGGCUAAAUGCAUUUGUGCUAGCUAUAGCAUUUUAUAGACAACUUGUUGACUAUGAUUUGUCUUGUAGCUUACUCGCUUAUGUUAUUUUACCUACGCUUAGGAUGUUGACUGAUAUGUAGUCGU